Molecule: ribosomal RNA, 603 nt
Filed under: Triticum aestivum (bread wheat)
Lineage: Eukaryota; Viridiplantae; Streptophyta; Magnoliopsida; Poales; Poaceae
Description: partial small subunit ribosomal RNA
Source: RNAcentral
AUGGAGAAGCUAAUGAACCCAAUGCUAAAUCAUUCAGAUCCUGCAAAUAAACUAACCUUACAGGAAAGUAAUGUUGGCUUCAGUUUAUUGAAUGCUUCCUUGGUAAAAAUGCCUGUAUUCAAGGAAAAACAGUGGAUUUUAAUCACUGCUAACUUCAGAGCCAAAUUUUUGGAUAUCAUGAACCCGUACUACAGUGCUGAUACAUUUCUACCAACAAUUAGUGCGGUUAUCUACAACUUCAAGGUCUUGUUUGCUGCUACAUAUGGAAAUUCUACUUCUUUCAACAUAGGUAAUUUCGAAUCAAGAUUUGUACCAGCUCCCAAGGUCAAUUUCAGGUAUGACUCAGGAAUUUUCAUUCUGCAGUAUGUUAGCAAGUACAAAGGUCUUGAAUUGCAGGGUUUCUCUAAUGAUGAUUUACAAGCUCUACGUCAAAAAUUCCUGUUUGAGAUUGUAACAUGCAAGGACAAUCAAAUUCAACUGCCGUUAGUAACUUCUUUCCUGCAGCGACAUGGUCUCAUUAAUACUGCCACCUUCAAGGGAAGUGCACUGCAAGAUCCAACUCCAAGGAAUACUUCCAUGGCAAAAAAGUUUCCUUACCGAUAG